CCUACGGGAGGCAGCAGUGAGGAAUAUUGGUCAAUGGACGAGAGUCUGAACCAGCCAAGUCGCGUGAGGGAUGACUGCCCUAUGGGUUGUAAACUUCUUUUAUAUGGGAAUAAAAUGUUCCACGUGUGGGAUUUUGUCUGUACCAUAUGAAUAAGGAUCGGCUAACUCCGUGCCAGCAGCCGCGGUAAUACGGAGGAUCCGAGCGUUAUCCGGAUUUAUUGGGUUUAAAGGGAGCGUAGGUGGAUGGUUAAGUCAGUUGUGAAAGUUUGCGGCUGAACCGUAGAAUUGCAGUUGAAACUGGCAGUCUUGAGUACAGUAGAGGUGGGCGGAAUUCGUGGUGUAGCGGUGAAAUGCUUAGAUAUCACGAAGAACUCCGAUUGCGAAGGCAGUUCACUGGACUGCAACUGACGCUGAGGCUCGAAAGUGUGGGUAUCAAACAGGAUUAGAUACCCUUGUAGUC
Molecule: ribosomal RNA, 460 nt
Filed under: uncultured bacterium
Lineage: Bacteria
Description: partial 16S ribosomal RNA
Rfam family: Bacterial small subunit ribosomal RNA
Source: RNAcentral